This 201-nucleotide long non-coding RNA is filed under the name Elaeis guineensis (African oil palm). RNAcentral's name for it is "long non-coding RNA (EGUI_LNC069723)". The record is from RNAcentral. Lineage: Eukaryota; Viridiplantae; Streptophyta; Magnoliopsida; Arecales; Arecaceae.
GGGGCAGGACAGUGGGAAUGCCUCUGGUAGCCAAUACGGAGUAUAAUUUUUUAUCAAAGCUGCUGUCGACGAGCAUUCCUUGGGUUAAAAAUGCCUCAAGGAUGAUCUUUGUGGUAGCAUGAUAAUGAAGGAACCAGAUCUAGGAUUUCAGGGUUAGAUCUUGAAACUUUUUCAAGAUCAUACAGCGAAAGAUUAAAAUAA